UACGGAGGAUGCGAGCGUUAUCCGGAUUUAUUGGGUUUAAAGGGUGCGUAGGCGGUCGGAUAAGUUAGAGGUGAAAGCCUUCGGCUCAACCGGAGAAUUGCAUCAGAAACUGUUGAACUUGAGUGCAGAAGAGGAGAGUGGAACUCCAUGUGUAGCGGUGGAAUGCGUAGAUAUAUGGAAGAACACCAGUGGCGAAGGCGGCUCUCUGGUCUGCAACUGACGCUGAGGCUCGAAAGCAUGGGUAGCGAACAGG
This 253-nucleotide ribosomal RNA is filed under the name uncultured Lactobacillus sp. Its description in RNAcentral is "partial 16S ribosomal RNA". It matches the Rfam family "Bacterial small subunit ribosomal RNA", at positions 524 to 776 of the family's 1533-position model. Lineage: Bacteria; Bacillati; Bacillota; Bacilli; Lactobacillales; Lactobacillaceae. The record is from RNAcentral.